This is a non-coding RNA of Acanthosepion pharaonis, 107 nucleotides long. Lineage: Eukaryota; Metazoa; Mollusca; Cephalopoda; Sepiida; Sepiidae. The record is from the annotation of a GenBank genome assembly.
UUACGGUCAUAUCACGUUGAAACACAGGUCCUCAUUCGAUCACCGAAGUUAAGCAACAUCGAGCCUGGUCAGUACUUUGAUAAGUGAGCGCUUGGAAAUACUAGAUG